This 263-nucleotide long non-coding RNA is filed under the name Homo sapiens (human). Its description in RNAcentral is "HSALNT0273804". The record is from RNAcentral. Lineage: Eukaryota; Metazoa; Chordata; Mammalia; Primates; Hominidae.
AAGAUACAGCCUAAAAUAAAGACUCAGGGUUUUGCUCUGAGUUUCUGAUUUGUUUCUCAAGUCUAUGGAGAGGAAAAUCUGGACAAAGACCCAGAGAGGCAGACACAGACCCACAGGGAGAACACGGUAUGAUAGAUAUGACAACAGGGACUGAGAAGGCAGCCACCAGCAGCCACAGAGAGAGGCGAAGCAGACUCCCACCAGGAGCUUCAGAGGGAGACCACCGUGCUCACACCUUGACUUUAGACUUCUGGCCUCUAGAA